RNAcentral lists this ribosomal RNA (407 nucleotides) under uncultured bacterium. RNAcentral's name for it is "partial 16S ribosomal RNA". It matches the Rfam family "Bacterial small subunit ribosomal RNA", at positions 28 to 526 of the family's 1533-position model. The record is from RNAcentral.
GACGAACGCUGGAGGCGUGCCUAAUACAUGCAAGUAGAACGCAGUUUCGAACGGGUGAGUAACGCGUAGGUAACUGCCUCAUAGCGGGGGAUAACUAUUGGAAACGAUAGCUAAUACCGCAUACUUUGAGAUGGACCUGCGUUGUAUUAGCUAGUUGGUGAGGUAAAGGGUCACAAAGGCGACGAUACAUAGCCGACCUGCGAGGGUGAUCGGCCAAACGGGGACGGAGACACGGCCCAGACGCCUACGGGAGGCAGCAGGAGGGAAUCUUCGGCAAUGGACGGAAGUCUGACCGAGCAACGCCGCGGGAGUGAGGAAGGUUUUCGGAUCGUAAAGCUCUGUUGUUAGAGAAGCGUUAACUAACCAGUAAGGGACGGCUAACGACGUGACAGCAGCCGCGGUAAUAC